GGCCGCGUAGCUCAGCGGUAGAGCAUCUGAUUCCAGCUUCCCUACAAGGAGGAAUUAGAAAUUCCAGAAGGUCAUCCGUUCAAAUCGGGUCGUGGUCA
This is a non-coding RNA of Neopestalotiopsis sp. 37M, 98 nucleotides long. The record is from the annotation of a GenBank genome assembly. NCBI's taxonomy places the organism in Eukaryota, Fungi, Ascomycota, Sordariomycetes, Amphisphaeriales, Sporocadaceae.